UAUCAAAAUGCAAUACAUGAAAUUGAUAUAAUGAGCAAUAAUUCAGACACAGAACCUGACAUAGAAUACGUCUCAUCAAAAAAACAGCGCAAUUGCUCUGAUCUUCCACAGCUGUCAUAUGAUAAUAUGGCAGAAGAAAUUUUAAAGAAUAAUGAGCAUAAUGCUUCUUCAGCAAUAAUACCUGAAGAUGGAGAACAAAUAAUGGUGACUAAUUACGAAAUCACGACACCGAAAGAGUCAACUCCAUCUGAAACACCGUUGAGCGCGCCGCAAGAAAAUAUUGAAAAAUACAUUGUUAUUCCUGAAAGUAAUCAGUCGGACACACCUAUAAUAUACUCGUACAUUAAUAAAGAAACAAGUUUAUCAGAAGAACAAUGCGAAUUAAAAUCCAUGAAAAUAGAUAUCACCACUAUUAAAAGUGACCUAAAAUCCAUAAAUGACGAUAUGAAGACUAUAAUGGGGACCCUAAACACAACACUAAAUAAUCAAGCCGUAUUACACGAAACACUGAAAUCGAUUUUAUUACAAGUGACUGAAAUACAAGUUACGAACGAAGAAUUCAUUAAAAAAUCUAUUACAGAAAAACAAAACCAUUCGUUGAUGUUAAAACCAAUACAAGAUUUAAAAGAUUUAGAAGAGUUUGAAAAUAAAUUGAUGGAUUCUGAUUAUAGAGAAGAUUUACUAAGAAAGUUUAGUGUGUUUGGCACUAAAGGGACAGGGAAGGGAAUCACAAGAGCAUAUACAAUUAUUGAUAUUUUGUUUGAAAGAAAGUUUUUCAAAUCGUGUUCGUGGACUGGAGCUUCACGUUCCCAAAAUGAAACAACA
Helicoverpa armigera (cotton bollworm) is the source of this 825-nucleotide long non-coding RNA. RefSeq lists it as uncharacterized. The transcript is spliced from 3 exons. Lineage: Eukaryota; Metazoa; Arthropoda; Insecta; Lepidoptera; Noctuidae. The record is from RefSeq and is a predicted model, not a curated record.